UACGAAGGGUGCAAGCGUUACUCGGAAUUACUGGGCGUAAAGCGUGCGUAGGCGGUCUGUCGCGUCGGCUGUGAAAACCCGGAGCUCAACUCCGGGCCUGCAGUCGAUACGGGCAGACUGGAGUUCGGCAGGGGAGACUGGAAUUCCUGGUGUAGCGGUGAAAUGCGCAGAUAUCAGGAGGAACACCGGUGGCGAAGGCGGGUCUCUGGGCCGAUACUGACGCUGAGGAGCGAAAGCGUGGGGAGCGAACAGG
Molecule: ribosomal RNA, 253 nt
Filed under: uncultured bacterium
Lineage: Bacteria
Description: partial 16S ribosomal RNA
Rfam family: Bacterial small subunit ribosomal RNA
Source: RNAcentral